AGGUUCAGGCUCCCUCCAGCACGUGGACCAGGUGUCCCUGGGCGGUGUGGGACGGCUGCCACACGCACCCUGCAAGGUUUGUCACAAGACCUGACUGUGAUCUUUUGAUGUCACUCUGCAGUAGGCUGGCAGUAAGUGCCCUGGGAGUGCUCUCAGAGGGUGAACCAUGCCCUGGGGCGUGCUUUUGUCAUCUUGGAAAUGACGACUGAGGCAAGGGGUGGGUGUGUGUGGGAAAAAGGACAGUCAUUGCCACCCAGGUGUCCCACUCCCUCAUGUGAUGAAAGGUGUGAGCUCCGAGGCCUUUGCCCCCUCUCCAUUGGCCAUCCCAUGGAGCGAUCCCAGGCUGAGGGCAGAAGGGAGCAGUGGGCAUCAGGAGUGGUCCCCAAACGUGGCUGUGGGACAGACACACAUUGGCUGAUGCCCUGACAUGUCCCCCACCAGCUUCUAUAUAUGGGCCUGCCCUCUCUGAACCCACCGCGCUCGGCUCUCAAGUGACAUGCUGGGGAGGGAGGGGGGGUCUAUUUUUAGCCCCUGAAUGGAUCUGUGCUGGAGCCGAGCUCUCUGCCCCCAUCAAGGGUACGGCAUCAUGUUGUGCUGGGAGGAUUUUCCUGCGUGGCUCUUUGAAUGGCUCCAUCCCCACCUUAGGUCGGGGUACAGGCAUGGAUAACUUCGAGUACAGCAUCCAGCUGAACGACAGGGAAUGGGCUGAGUUCUUCUUGGCCUCAGAGGAGUGCAACCUCGCCCCGGCCUCGCUGGCCACGGCCGAGGAGCAGUGCCUCAGUGACAUUGAGCAAGGGGACAGCCACGCAGCCCGACAAGGCUGAUGUCCAGCCGGGCAGGGCAGCGAGCCAGCACCUGGCACGGGGAGCUCUGCCCCACGUGGGGUGCCCGGAGACACCCCCCUGCGCUGGCAGGCCGGUGGGCACCUCUCCCCUCCGGAGCUGCUGUCGGGCAGCGAGGACGAAGCGGAGCUGGGCUCGGUCGGCAGUCCGUGAUCGUCGAGAGUGACCAGCCCGGGCUGGCCCAUCCGGCCCCCUGGCCAUUGCCCAG
RNAcentral lists this long non-coding RNA (1050 nucleotides) under Manacus vitellinus (golden-collared manakin). RNAcentral describes it as "lncRNA (ENSMVIG00005001299.1)". Lineage: Eukaryota; Metazoa; Chordata; Aves; Passeriformes; Pipridae. The record is from RNAcentral.